This 75-nucleotide transfer RNA is filed under the name Magnetococcales bacterium. Its description in RNAcentral is "tRNA-Met". The record is from RNAcentral. Lineage: Bacteria; Pseudomonadati; Pseudomonadota; Magnetococcia; Magnetococcales.
GGAUGGCUCAAUCGGCGAUAGCCUUUUCGGCUCAUAACCGGUCGGUCCCAGGUUCGAAUCCUGGUGGGCCCACCA